RNAcentral lists this long non-coding RNA (497 nucleotides) under Salmo salar (Atlantic salmon). RNAcentral describes it as "lncRNA (ENSSSAG00000111042.1)". The record is from RNAcentral. Lineage: Eukaryota; Metazoa; Chordata; Actinopteri; Salmoniformes; Salmonidae.
GAAACUGACUGGAAGCAGGCUUUAAAAAAAUAAAUCAUGGAAGAGGUUAAGGACCAGAUGAAGGCGCUCACAAGUGACAUCAUCCAGGAGCUGAAACCAUUUCAAAGAGCUGACCCCACUGUGGCCGAAUGGAGGAAGCCAUCGUCCUACUCUAACAUAUGGGCUGAAGCAUUUCCAGCUCUGUGAUCAGGCCUUUGAACUGGAUCCUGUUCUCCGGGUCAUUCUCCCAACACCUCCUCAGGGAGUAUACCUGCGCACACGCACGCACGCACGCACGCACACACACACAGAAAAGAAAGGGAGAGAGAUAUGUAUGAGUAUGUUGCACGUCACUAAUUCACAGGAGAGGCAUUUGAAAAACAAUUAUCUCCAUCAAAAUGCGUUUGACAGAAAUGCCUUCGGGAACAUGUGAACUUUCAUGUGCUUUAAUAACAAACUUGUAUGCCAUCUGUAAAUAAGAAUAUAAUUGUUAAAUUACGAGCCUAGUUGGUUCAGCC